AUAGUUUUAGGUUAUUUAGACCAGUUGUUUUCAAAAUAACUAGUAGUUUUAGGACUAAACUAUG
This 64-nucleotide transfer RNA is filed under the name Eudiplozoon nipponicum. RNAcentral describes it as "tRNA-Trp". Lineage: Eukaryota; Metazoa; Platyhelminthes; Monogenea; Mazocraeidea; Diplozoidae. The record is from RNAcentral.